AAGUCUCAGUGCAGCUGGAAGU
RNAcentral lists this microRNA (22 nucleotides) under Sarcophilus harrisii (Tasmanian devil). Its description in RNAcentral is "Sha-Mir-7262-P3_5p* (star (passenger))". The record is from RNAcentral. Lineage: Eukaryota; Metazoa; Chordata; Mammalia; Dasyuromorphia; Dasyuridae.